Molecule: long non-coding RNA, 658 nt
Organism: Lolium rigidum
Lineage: Eukaryota; Viridiplantae; Streptophyta; Magnoliopsida; Poales; Poaceae
Exons: 4
Source: RefSeq, a predicted model, not a curated record
AUGGUUAGUUGGGCAUUGUGGCAGCCAAGUACUCAUGGCUGCUUAGAUACUACAAUGAUCCUACACAAGAGGACCACCUAGGUCAAUGAAGCACCAGAACCCACCACCGGUCUCCUGUGCGGGAGUUGGUCUCAGACAAUGCAUGUCCACGCAGCUUGGAGCUGCUGCCAGCGUCUUCCACCGGGGGAUCCGGCAUUGCUGUUCGACUGGUUGUGGCCCACCAUGCUUCGUGUGCGGUGGUAGGCUUGGCUGGCUCUGGGCUUCACUAAGCUUGUCAUUGUGUUGCUACUGCGGUUGCGGUGUUGUCUUGGCAUUGGCUACACCCCUCUCCGGUAAUAGUCAUAUGGAGCGGCUGUCGCUGGCAAAGGGUGCAGUGUCGCUGUCUUGAGGCUGGACGUGGUUGAGUGUGACCUGGAGAAUCAGGGCGAGUCAGGCAUUGUGGUGGGCUGGUGGCCAAGUGCUUACGUGCGCUUAAAUACUAUGCUGAGCUUACGGCAUCACCACCAAGGGAGUAGUCCCAAGCGUGGAGCGGCCGCAGAUGGGCCAAGGGCGGAAGUCUGAUAGGGCUUCAAGAGAUAGGGAAAACUGCGGUAAGAAAGACCCACUCAGUGAAUUGAUGGAUCGCACACUUGGAGACAGGGACAGAUUUCCGACCUAA